Molecule: ribosomal RNA, 327 nt
Filed under: Clostridioides difficile
Lineage: Bacteria; Bacillati; Bacillota; Clostridia; Peptostreptococcales; Peptostreptococcaceae
Description: bacterial SSU rRNA
Rfam family: Bacterial small subunit ribosomal RNA
Source: RNAcentral
AGUUGCGAAGGCGGCUCUCUGGACUGUAACUGACGCUGAGGCACGAAAGCGUGGGGAGCAAACAGGAUUAGAUACCCUGGUAGUCCACGCUGUAAACGAUGAGUACUAGGUGUCGGGGGUUACCCCCUUCGGUGCCGCAGCUAACGCAUUAAGUACUCCGCCUGGGAAGUACGCUCGCAAGAGUGAAACUCAAAGGAAUGGACGGGGACCCGCACAAGUAGCGGAGCAUGUGGUUUAAUUCGAAGCAACGCGAAGAACCUUACCUAAGCUUGACAUCCCAAUGACAUCUCCUUAAUCGGAGAGUUCCCUUCGGGGACAUUGGUGACA